Molecule: transfer RNA, 76 nt
Filed under: Actinomycetes bacterium
Lineage: Bacteria; Bacillati; Actinomycetota; Actinomycetes
Description: Actinobacteria bacterium tRNA-Thr
Rfam family: tRNA
About the family: Transfer RNA (tRNA) molecules are approximately 80 nucleotides in length. Their secondary structure includes four short double-helical elements and three loops (D, anti-codon, and T loops). Further hydrogen bonds mediate the characteristic L-shaped molecular structure. tRNAs have two regions of fundamental functional importance: the anti-codon, which is responsible for specific mRNA codon recognition, and the 3' end, to which the tRNAs corresponding amino acid is attached (by aminoacyl-tRNA synthetases). tRNAs cope with the degeneracy of the genetic code in two manners: having more than one tRNA (with a specific anti-codon) for a particular amino acid; and 'wobble' base-pairing, i.e. permitting non-standard base-pairing at the 3rd anti-codon position.
Source: RNAcentral
GCCCGAGUAGCUCAGACGGCAGAGCAGCUCACUCGUAAUGAGCAGGUCUGGGGUUCGAGUCCCCACUCGGGCUCAA